AUUCGAACAAUUGCAGAAAUGUUUCUAAGUUUUUAUUUUAUGGUAGACGCUAUUUUAGUGAUUGGAGUUUAUAACUGAUUUUUUCUGAAGUUUAUAACUUCAAUUGGAGUAUUUUCGAUCCUCACAGUAAAUGCUGCGUGAAAUGGAUCCUUUAAGUUUUGAAACUGUUAGAACGUGUUGUACCUUGCGGUCUCACCUGUUGGAAAGACGAUUGUAACUGGAGGAGGAGAUGCGACCUUAAGGUUCUGGAAUGUCUUACCAUCCCUGAAAGCUCAGUAUCAGGUGGGAUCUGUGCUGAGCGUGGUCUGCUGGGUGUGACUACAUGUGCAACUAUGCUUGAAGAAAGAGUUAGAUCCUAUGCAAACCAGCAAAACCAGGAUUCACUUCAACUGGUAUUUAUUAUACUUUUGUUAAUUUAUAGUAGAUAAUUAGCCGAAUUCCUUUCGUAGUUUCCUCAAGCUUUUAUUAUAUGAGAAUCAUACUUAAUUGUUUUUGGAUCUUCAUAUACGGCUAAUGAGUUCCAUUAUCAUGUUUAGUCUGUUACUUUUCAUGCUAUUCAAUUUCUGAGAGUCA
Brassica rapa (field mustard) is the source of this 573-nucleotide long non-coding RNA. RefSeq lists it as uncharacterized. Lineage: Eukaryota; Viridiplantae; Streptophyta; Magnoliopsida; Brassicales; Brassicaceae. The record is from RefSeq and is a predicted model, not a curated record.